RNAcentral lists this ribosomal RNA (503 nucleotides) under uncultured bacterium. RNAcentral's name for it is "partial 16S ribosomal RNA". It matches the Rfam family "Bacterial small subunit ribosomal RNA", at positions 30 to 523 of the family's 1533-position model. The record is from RNAcentral.
AUUGAACGCUGGCGGCAGGCUUAACACAUGCAAGUCGAGCGGGGUGAUGGUGCUUGCACUAUCACUUAGCGGCGGACGGGUGAGUAAUGCUUAGGAAUCUGCCUAUUAGUGGGGGACAACGUCUCGAAAGGGAUGCUAAUACCGAAUACGUACUACGGGAGAAAGCAGGGGAUCACUUGUGACCUUGCGCUAAUAGAUGAGCCUAAGUUGGAUUAGCUAGUUGGUGGGGGAAAGGCCUACCAAGGCGACGAUCUGUAGCGGGUCUGAGAGGAUGAUCCGCCACACUGGGACUGGGACACGGCCCAGACUCCUACGGGAGGUAGCAGUGGGGAAUAUUGGACAAUGGGGGGAACCCUGAUCCAGCCAUGCCGCGUGUGUGAAGAAGGCCUUAUGGUUGUAAAGCACUUUAAGCGAGGAGGAGGCUCUUUUGGUUAAUACCCAAGAUGAGUGGACGUUACUCGCAGAAUAAGCACCGGCUAACUCUGUGCCAGCCGCCGCAGUAA